AAUAUUUGAUUUUUCUUAUCUCUAUAAAACAAAAAAGAGAAGAAGAAUUCUUUUGAAAGGCUUAGAAUGUCAGCUUGUUUUUUUUUUUUUUUUUUUUGAAAUACGCACUACAGAAAGAACAACACCUUGAACUUACCUGGGAAACUUCCACAGACUUUAUUAAAAAGAACUUGGUGGAAAUACAUACCACAAGUCAAAGAGAUGAAAUGACCCCAUGGUUCUGCUCAUUAUGAGAAGGAGGAACAAGAGGAAGAGAAAAGCUCCAAAUGGAGAAGAAAACAUUUAUUCCACAAUUGAAAUACAGUUGGAAUCAUGAUGUAAGUGUGCAGUUACGCUUUUAAGAGGCUGA
RNAcentral lists this long non-coding RNA (349 nucleotides) under Pan paniscus (pygmy chimpanzee). RNAcentral describes it as "lncRNA (ENSPPAG00000044237.1)". The record is from RNAcentral. Lineage: Eukaryota; Metazoa; Chordata; Mammalia; Primates; Hominidae.